AGAGUUUGAUCCUGGCUCAGAUUGAACGCUGGCGGCAUGCCUUACACAUGCAAGUCGAACGGUAACAGGGAGCUUGCUCCGCUGACGAGUGGCGAACGGGUGAGUAAAGUAUCGGAACGUACCUUUCAGUGGGGGAUAACGCAGCGAAAGUUGCGCUAAUACCGCAUAUUCUGUGAGCAGGAAAGCAGGGGAUCGUAAGACCUUGCGCUGAUUGAGCGGCCGAUAUCAGAUUAGCUAGUUGGUGAGGUAAAGGCUCACCAAGGCGACGAUCUGUAGCGGGUCUGAGAGGAUGAUCCGCCACACUGGAACUGAGACACGGUCCAGACUCCUACGGGAGGCAGCAGUGGGGAAUUUUGGACAAUGGGGGCAACCCUGAUCCAGCCAUGCCGCGUGAGUGAAGAAGGCCUUCGGGUUGUAAAGCUCUUUCAGCCGGGAAGAAAUCGCACAGGCUAAUACCUUGUGUGGAUGACGGUACCGGAAUAAGAAGCACCGGCUAACUACGUGCCAGCAGCCGCGGUAAUACGUAGGGUGCGAGCGUUAAUCGGAAUUACUGGGCGUAAAGCGUGCGCAGGCGGUUUUGUAAGACAGGCGUGAAAUCCCCGGGCUCAACCUGGGAACUGCGCUUGUGACUGCAAGGCUAGAGUACGGCAGAGGGGGGUGGAAUUCCACGUGUAGCAGUGAAAUGCGUAGAGAUGUGGAGGAACACCAAUGGCGAAGGCAGCCCCCUGGGUCGAUACUGACGCUCAUGCACGAAAGCGUGGGUAGCAAACAGGAUUAGAUACCCUGGUAGUCCACGCCCU
Molecule: ribosomal RNA, 800 nt
Filed under: uncultured bacterium
Lineage: Bacteria
Description: bacterial SSU rRNA
Rfam family: Bacterial small subunit ribosomal RNA
Source: RNAcentral